This 271-nucleotide long non-coding RNA is filed under the name Lathyrus oleraceus (garden pea). RNAcentral describes it as "Pisum sativum (pea) long non-coding RNA (PSAT_LNC013922)". Lineage: Eukaryota; Viridiplantae; Streptophyta; Magnoliopsida; Fabales; Fabaceae. The record is from RNAcentral.
UUUGUUACCCAGUAUCCGGUAACUCCUCAUCCCUUUGCUUUCCCUGGAUAAUCUUUUUAGAUUUCCCCAGCGGAGUUUCUAUUGUGAUUAUCCUUUUGCUGUGUUGGCUUUUUCCCCAAUACAUGCAUUUUCCCCGACAGGGAGGUUUUGUUCAUAUCUUUCCCCAGCCUGAGUCCGGAUUUUUAUCCGAAGUAUCCUUUUGCGGAUAGUUUUGCUGUGUUGGCGUAUUCCCCAAUACACGCAUUUUUGAGUCAGCUUGAGUCUUUCCAAU